Molecule: long non-coding RNA, 4563 nt
Organism: Nerophis ophidion (straightnose pipefish)
Lineage: Eukaryota; Metazoa; Chordata; Actinopteri; Syngnathiformes; Syngnathidae
Exons: 3
Source: RefSeq, a predicted model, not a curated record
GGCGUAGGCCGAUGGGAACACAGCGCCAAAAAAACAGUGAGUCACACAUGCCAUCAGGCAAGCCAGCGCCCAUCCACAGAUGUACUGAGCACAGAACAGAUGCGAGCCAGUGGACGGGUCACAGGGAGCAUGUUGAGCAUGAUGAGAGAAUGACCUCCAUUGCUGAUUACUACUAAAGAAUAGGAGAAUAUUUGAUGAAAUGGAGGAACAAAGAGGCAACCUCUGCAGGUCAUUACUGCGACAAGAACUUAAUACUAAAGGAUUAGAAUGAAAGCGAGGGGUGGAUGCGAUGAGAUUUAAUAGGAGAAGACAAAGAUGCGGAACAUUAGCAGGCCUCGGUAAGGAAUGCACGGGUCGAUGCAGCAUGUGUGACUUAUGUAACAUUUAUCCAUCCAUUCAUUUUCUUCCGCUUAUCCGAAGUCGGGUCGCGGGGGCAGCAGCAUAAGCAGUGAAACCCAGACUUCCCUCUCCCCAGCCACUUUGUCCCGCUCUUUCUAGGGAUCCCGAGGUGUUACCAGGCCAGCCGGGAGACAGUCUUCCCAACGUGUCCUGGGUCUUCCCCUUGGCCUCCUGCCGGUAGGACGUGCCCCAAAAACCUCCCUAGUGAGACGUUCGGGUGGCAUCCUGAGCAGAUGCCCAAACCACCUCAUUUGGCUCCUCUUGAUGUGGAGUAGCAGCAGCUUUACUCUGAGUUCAUCCCAGAUGACAGAGCUUCUCACCCUAUCUCCAAGGGAGAGACCCGCCACCCGGCGGAGAAGAGUCAUUUUGGCCGCUUGUACCCGUUAUGUUGUCCUUUCGGUCAUAACCCACAGCUCAUGACCAUAGGUGAGGAUGGGAACGUAGAUCGACCAUUAAAUUGAGAGCUUUGCCUUCUCGUUCCGCUCUUUCUUCACCACAACGGAUCGAUACGGCGUCCGCAUUACUGAAGACCUCGUACCGAUCCGGCUGUUGAUCUCACAAUCCACUUUUCCCCCACUCAUGAGCAAGACUCCUAGGUACUUGCAAUCCUCCACUUGGGGCAAGAUCUCCUCCCCAACUUGGAGAUUGCACUCCACCCUUUCCCGGUCGAGAACCAUGAACUUGGACUUGGAGGUUGUGAUUCUCAUCCUCGUCGCUUCACACUCGGCUGCGAACCGAUCCAGUGAGAGCUGAAGAUCCUGGCCAGGUGAAGCCAUCAGGAUCACAUCAUCCGCAAAAAGCAGAGACCUAAUCCUGCAGCCACCAAACCGGAUCCCCUCAACUCCCUGACUGCGCCUAGAAAUUAUUUCAUAAAAGUUAUACACAGAAUCGGUGACAAAGGGCAGCCUUGGCAGAGUCCAACCCUCACUGGAAAUGGGUCCGACUUACUGCCGGCAAUGCGGACCAAGCUCUGACACUGAUCGUACAGGGAGCGGACUGCCACAAUCAGACGGUCCGAUACCCCAUACUCUCUGAGCACUCCCCACAGGACUUCCCGGGGGGCACGGUCAAAUGCCUUCUCCAAGUUCACAAAUUACAUGUAGACUGGUUGGGAAAACUUCCAUGCACCCUCAAGGACCCGGCCGAGAGUAUAGAGCUGGUCUUCCAUUCAAAGACAAGGAUGAAAACCACACUGUUCCUCCUGGAUCCGAGGUCCGACUAUCCGGUGUAGCCUCCUCUCCAGUACACCUGAAUAGACCUUACCGGGAAGGAUGAGGAGUGUGAUCCCACCAUUGUUGGAAGCACCACCCCGGUCUGCCAAUCCAGAAGUACCGCCUCCGAUGUCCACGCGAUGUUGCAGUCAACCAAGACAGCCCCACAGCAUCCAGAGCCUUAAGGAACUCUGGGUCGAUCUCAUCCACCCCCGGGGCCUUGCCAGCAAGGCGCUUUUUAACUACCUCGGCAACCUCAGCCCCAGAAAUAGGAGAGCCCACCACAGAUUCCCCAAGUACUGCUUCCUCACAGAAAGAUGUGUUGGUGGGAUUGAGGAGGUCUUCGAAGUAUUCCUUCCACCCAUCCGCAAGAGCUGCAGUAGAGGUCAGCAGCACACCAUCCUCACCAUAUGCAUUGUUGACAGUACACUGGUUCCCACUCCCGAGGCGGUGGACGAUGGACCAAAAUCGCUUCGAAGCCGUACGGAAGUCGUUUACCAUGGCUUCCCAAAACUCAUCCCAUGUUCGAGUUUUUGCCUCCACAACCAUUGAGGCCGCACUUCGCUUGGCCUGUCGGUACCUCUCCGCUGCCUCUGGAGUCCCAUGAGCCAAAAGGACCCGAUAGGACUCUUUCUUCAGCUGGACGGCGUUCCCCAAUGCUGGUGUUCACCAACGGGUUCUAGGAUUACCGCCACGACAGGUACCAACCACCUUGCGGCCACAGCUCCAAUCAGCCGCCUCGACAAUAGAUACACGGAAGGUCCACUCAGACUCAAUAUCCAGUGCCUCCCUCGUGACAUGUUCAAAGUUCUUCCAGGGGUGGGAAUUGAAACUCUCUCUGACAGGAGACUCUGCUCGACGUUCCCAGCAGACCCUCACAAUGCGUUUGGGCCUGCCAGGUCUGUCCGACAUUCUCCCCCACCAUCGGAGCCAGCUCACCACCACGUGGUGAUUAGUAAAAAGCUCUGCCCCUCUCUUCACCCGAGUGUCCAAAAUACGAGGCCGCAAAUCCGAUGACACAACUACAAAGUCAAUCAUGGAACUGCAUCCGAGGGUGUCUCGGUGCCAAGUGCAAUUAUGGACACCCUUAUGUUUGAACAUUGUGUGUUAUGGACAAUCCAUGACGAGCACAAAAGUCCAAUAACAAAGCACCACUUGGGUUCAGAUCCGGGCAGCCAUUCCUCCCAAUCACGCCUCUACAGGUUUCACUGUCGUUGCCAACAUGAGCGUUGAAGGCCCCCACCAGAACAAGGGAAUCACCCGAGGGAGCACUAUCCAGUACUCCCUGAAGGGAAUCCAAAAAAGAGUGGGUACUCUGAGCUGCUGUUUGGUGCGUAAGCACAAACAACAGUCAAGACCCGUCGCCCCACCCGAAGGCGGAGGGAAGCUACCCUCUCGUCUACUGGGUUAAAGUCCAACGUGCAGGCUUUGAGCUUGGGGGGCAACAAGAAUUGCCACCCCAGCCCGUCGCCUCUCAUUGCUUGCAAUGUCAGAGUGGAAAAUAGUCCAGACCCUCUCGAGAAAACUGGUUCCAGAGCCCUUGCUGUACGCCGAAGUGAGUCCGACUACAUCUAGCUGGAACUUCACCAGCUCGCGCAUCAGCUCAGGCUCCUUCCCUCCCAGCGAGGUGACGUUCCACGUCCCAAGAACUAGCUUAUGUAACCGAGGAUCGGACCGCCAAGUGCCCUGCUUUGGGCUGCCGCACAGCUCACACUGCAACCGACCUAUAUAACCCCUCCUAUGAGUGGUGAGCCCAUUGGAAAGGGUACCCAUGUUGCCUCUUUGGGCUAAACCCCGCCGAGCCCGGCACACCAGGCGCUCACCAUUGUAACCCACCUCCGGGCCUGGGUCCAGAGGGGAGCACCGGUGACCCGCGUCCUGGCGAGGGAAAUCUAGGUCCUCGAGUUGUACUUUUCAUUAAAGUCUUUGAGCUGCUCUUUGUCUGAUCCCUCACCCAGGACCUGUUUGUCUUGGGAGACCCUAUCAGGGGGAUUAGAUGCCCCCGGACAACAUAGCUCCUAGGAUCAUUGGGACACGCAAACUCCUCUACCACGAUAAGGUGGCAGCUUAAAAAAGAGACUUAUGUAACUUAUGUAACAGCGGGACGUAAUGAUGAUGUUGCCUCUCAGAGCCUAGAAAAUGUCUCUCUCUAAAGUCCCCCAAUUGGACUGCGGCGCCGACACACGCACCUGAAGCUCCGCAGUCGCAGCACAGUUCGUUGCCCGGCAUGCGGAGUACAUCCUCAAUGAUGGCUUUGGUCAGGUCCUCCAGGCCGUCCUCGCUGCCGCUGGUCUGCUCGCCACGGAACGCCAUAUUCAAAGCCUCCUCCUUGCUGUUGGUCAACACCGAUAUCCAGCUACACACGGACGUAGAGAAAGAUAUGAAGAGCUUUCCGGCAUCCACCUGGAAAUGAAACAGCAAAAGAGUGGCGACGGCGCUUGCAGCGUACGCACAUCCAGAGAUGAGUCACCCAGGAGCAGCAGGCCGAAGGAGGAGGGGCACGUGAGGAGACGGGGUUGCCAUGGCGACCAAUCUAUGUCAAUUCCACCCUGCUGCCAGCUUCCAGAUUGAGAUAGAGAGAACGCGGCAUGGCCUCCCAGCGCGUUGUUCUCAUGCUCAUCCCGACAGUCGCAUCGGUGGAGAAAACUACCUCUCAUUCAGCGGGUCCUCUUCCAAGAGCACAACACACACACGGACCCUCCCCUCAUCACCUCCCUUCUGCCCCUCGGUCUGCACCCUUCUCUCUUUUUGUGAACGGCUCCUUUGCCAAUAUUAAUAUACUGUAAGUGGGUUUUACCUUUUUAAAAGUUUAUUAUUUUUGCAAUAUGAUUGUGAAAGUUAAGGAUAUUUGGGAUUUCUGACCGUAUGUGAGGGCACCAAAGACACUUCUGCGUGUGUGCAUGUGUUGGCAGGAGUUUAGCUUGUCGUUGUUUUGGCUUGUCAAUAAAGAAAU